RNAcentral lists this transfer RNA (72 nucleotides) under Camelus ferus (Wild Bactrian camel). It matches the Rfam family "tRNA". Rfam says of the family: Transfer RNA (tRNA) molecules are approximately 80 nucleotides in length. Their secondary structure includes four short double-helical elements and three loops (D, anti-codon, and T loops). Further hydrogen bonds mediate the characteristic L-shaped molecular structure. tRNAs have two regions of fundamental functional importance: the anti-codon, which is responsible for specific mRNA codon recognition, and the 3' end, to which the tRNAs corresponding amino acid is attached (by aminoacyl-tRNA synthetases). tRNAs cope with the degeneracy of the genetic code in two manners: having more than one tRNA (with a specific anti-codon) for a particular amino acid; and 'wobble' base-pairing, i.e. permitting non-standard base-pairing at the 3rd anti-codon position. The record is from Rfam by way of RNAcentral. Lineage: Eukaryota; Metazoa; Chordata; Mammalia; Artiodactyla; Camelidae.
UGGGGUAUAGCUCAGUGGCAGAGCACGUGCUUAGCAUGCAUGAAGUCCUGGGUUCAAUCCCCAGUACCUCCA